CCGAACCCUCAUCCCGAAUCCUCCUCCCGAACAGCUCCAUCCUGAACCAUCCUGUCCCGAACCCUCAUCCCGAACUGCUCCAUCCCAAACCGCUCCAUCCCAAACGGCUCCAUCCCGAACUGCUUGUUAUCCCGAACCCUCAUAUCGAACCCUCAUCCCGAACCCUCAUCCCGAACCGCUCAUCCAUCCCGAACCGCUCAUACUGAACUGCUCCAUCCCGAACCGCUCCAUCCCGAACCCUCAUCCCAAACUGCUCCAUCCCGAACGGCUCCAUCCCGAACCCUCAUCCCAAACUGCUCCAUCCCGAACGGCUCCGUCCCGAACGGCUCCAUCCCGAACCGCUCAUCCCAAGCCCUCAUCCUGAUCCCUCAUCCCAAACCCACAUCCUGAACCCUUAUCCCGGGAUAUGGCCCAGGGGGAUGCAGGCAGGCAAUGAACGUGUAGCCCAUGAAGAUAAUUCUUCAUGGCCAGAAAACAAUGCUGAGAUCACAGCUGUGGAGUGCUCCAGACAACCCACACUGGGAAAAUCCAGCACCUUUGUGGCCAUGGAUCUGUGCUGGCCAUGAACCACAGGGAUACUUGGAGCAUCAUUCCUGCAGCUGCCUCCUGCCCCAGGGAGGCAAAAGAUGGGCCAAACUCCAGAUCCUAUCAAUGAAAGGAUAA
Molecule: long non-coding RNA, 663 nt
Filed under: Zonotrichia albicollis (white-throated sparrow)
Lineage: Eukaryota; Metazoa; Chordata; Aves; Passeriformes; Passerellidae
Description: lncRNA (ENSZALG00000002476.1)
Source: RNAcentral